UUAAUGCCUAUACCUUUCCGCCAUUACUAUCUCUGAUACUAAAUCCCUCCACAAGAAACUUUCCAAAACCCUCUCUCCAUCUCGCUCCCCGAAUCCAAAUCUAUCGCCGAGAAGCUCUCGCCAUGAUGGGGAGGGCAGCCACCGCAAGGACCGCCCGUCGCCGCUCUCUCCUCCCCUUCUCCGCCGCUUCUCCAUCGUGGGCUGGAAUCAGAGAUGUGAUCAGAGCCAUGGGCUCUUGUGGGCACUUGCGGAAGGGUCUCCGUUGUCGCCAGUUCCACUCCACCACUCCUCCUCAGUACAGCUAUGGAAGCUCGUCUCUGGUAUUGCUUCUCAGUGUCCUAUUUUUCUUGGAAUUGAAUAGAUGAAUGUAUGGUUGUCAUUGUUUUCAAGGCGAUUUAAAUAUACUAGAUUACAAUAAUCGACACUAAAGGUUGCUCCUUUAACAAAUGAACUAAGGAUUCUGUACUUUCUUUCAGGAGUGAUUUAUGGUAGUAAGUUUCCGCUUUGGCAUUGGAUAAGAACGCACAAUGGUAAAGCAUUAGCCCCAUAAAACUGGUUCCUUUGUCGAUGAAAGGGAAGGAGGACUCUUCCUUGCUUGAUUUGGAGCUGCAAACUCGUAAUGACAGAGGUGUCAGAACCAGUAGUUUACAUGUGCAGAUGAAUCAUACAAGGGAAGCAUUUUGAUGUUCUUUGGACAUUCAUCUGGGUCCAUGAAGUCAUAGUUUAAUUGGUAAAGUAGUGAGAAUCUUGGUUCCAUUUCAUCCUCUUUGCAUCAUCACUAGGCGUAUUCAUGGAGAACUCUGAAAGGGGCAGCCAUCCAAUAGUUGUACUGUUGAAAGGAACCAAAAUUCAUGCAUUACAUCCUGGAGCUUCACUCUUUUUUCUUCAUUGGUGUUAUUCAACCUGUGUGACAAUCAAAAGCAAGUAAUUAGGUACUAUUAUGGUCACUUUCGAUUUCAUAUAUGACAGUAUUUGCCAAUUUUUAUUGU
This 989-nucleotide long non-coding RNA is filed under the name Phoenix dactylifera (date palm). RNAcentral describes it as "long non-coding RNA (PDAC_LNC013407)". The record is from RNAcentral. Lineage: Eukaryota; Viridiplantae; Streptophyta; Magnoliopsida; Arecales; Arecaceae.